AACUAUACGAAUAUUAUGUAUAGCUAUUUCUGCUCAAUGUUAUUAUAAAUUGCCGCAGUACUCUGACUGUGCUAAGGUAGCAUAAUCAUUUGGCUUAUAAUUGAAGUCUAGUAUGAAGGAAGUCAUGGGGGUUAACUGUUUCCGAAACGUUUAUUUAAUUUGCCUAAGGGGUGAAAAUGCCCCUAAUUACAUAAUAGACGAGAAGACCCUUGAAAUUUUAAGUAUAGGUAGUGUAGAGCUAAACUUUUUGUUGGGGCGACAAAGUAGCAAAUAACCUACUAAUUAUUAUUAGCAGAAAAUUGUAUGAAUAAAUAAAUUACUCUAGGGAUAACAGCAUAAUAUUUAAAAGUUUGUGACCUCGAUGUUGGACUAGGACAAUAUAGUCUAGAAGACUUUUAUUUCUGCUCUGUUCG
RNAcentral lists this ribosomal RNA (413 nucleotides) under Bradybaena phaeogramma phaeogramma. RNAcentral's name for it is "partial 16S rRNA". It matches the Rfam family "Bacterial large subunit ribosomal RNA", at positions 1827 to 2583 of the family's 2925-position model. Lineage: Eukaryota; Metazoa; Mollusca; Gastropoda; Stylommatophora; Camaenidae. The record is from RNAcentral.